UAGCUAGGAUAUCCCUUACUGGUGUUAAGGCACCAUUUUUGAUAUAGGGAACUAGUCAUGCCUAGAUUUUUUUCUUUUUGACUGAUUUUCUAUUUGGAUCUUAGCUGAAUAGGACAACUUAUAUUUCAAGCCUAUAGUCAUAGCUAGGAUUUUAUCUUGAAUGACAUUAGCCCUCUAUUUAGUAUAAAUGAUGGAUAGAAAAUGAAGGAUCAAUGAGGGAGAGGAUGGAUGGAUCUUCCAUCUAUUCUCAUAUGUAUUUGUUAAAUGUGGAAGAAUAGAUGAGAAUGAUUCACUUCUUUUU
This 301-nucleotide long non-coding RNA is filed under the name Elaeis guineensis (African oil palm). RNAcentral describes it as "long non-coding RNA (EGUI_LNC072241)". Lineage: Eukaryota; Viridiplantae; Streptophyta; Magnoliopsida; Arecales; Arecaceae. The record is from RNAcentral.